GCCAGCAUGGUGUAGUGGUUUGAGUGUUGGACUACCACUCUGGAGACCUGGGUUUAAUUCCCCACUCUGCCA
RNAcentral lists this transfer RNA (72 nucleotides) under Phrynosoma platyrhinos (Desert horned lizard). RNAcentral describes it as "tRNA-OTHER". Lineage: Eukaryota; Metazoa; Chordata; Lepidosauria; Squamata; Phrynosomatidae. The record is from RNAcentral.